UGCUGUCUGCUACCUGUCUCAGCCACUAACGAACCUGUGUGCUUUUGGUGCUUGUGUACUUGGUUUGGGUCCCCGGCCCAUAUCCGGGGUGGCGUAGUCGGCUCUCUCUUUGCUUCCUCGUUCUCUCUCUCUCUCUCUCUCACGCACGCACCGCGCACGUCACAGUAUGAAACCGAAUGUCUAAUGAAUGUCCAAUGUCAAACUAACUUUACCGCGGCGUUUUACUGUAUGUUCGCUUACAGAGCUUUCUGCUGCUUGCAAACAGACUAUUUAUCAGGACUAUUUCUAAAUCUGGAAACAUCGUAUUACCAUUCACUUGCCGCUCUGAUUCCACUCGCAACCCGCAAAACAAUGCAGGCUCACUCUUGCUCAAAUCCAAGAACCGUUUUGUUUUCAGUUGUUUCUGGAAGUUGAAUGCUGUUCAACCAGUUUCAGUCGUUUUGUAUUCGAAAAACUCAACCCCAUUCUGGAAAGAUUCACAAACAUCUUAGAUCUUCUCUUUAACAGAGGUGCUGAAGCGAUAUCAUCAUUAUUCAGGUUGCCAGGAAGUCACAAAGAUGCAAAUUAGCUGUUGAGUGGACAAAGAACCUCUUCACUGCUCAACUCUGAUUGGUCGAUUCAAACUCAGGUGGGCAUGCCCUCUCAUGAGGUUAAAUAACGAGCCUGCCCUGAAAACCUUCUCUUCGCUUGCCGCCUCUCUUCGUCCCCUGCUUAGCCUCUCUUCUCUUCCGGCUUCGUCUCUUCGGAGACUGCCCUCCCCCCCCCCCCUGGGGGAAAGGAUGGACAAUGGACUCUGCUGCCACGUGGCUAGGCCAUCCGGCCGACCACGAGGCCUGCAACUUUCGGCAGGACUUGCCUUCUGAAACCUUUUGAACAAUUCCAUCUCUACAUGCGCAUACGGAUAUCGGUCCAGCACAGAGCUUGCAAGUAUCCGUUUCUAUUUAUAGAAUAGCUGCGUUAAGUCUGUGCCUCUUUGUUAAAGAUGAUUUUUAUUGGUGUUCAGAAAUCGCUGCCAUGCCCUCUCUCUCUCUCUCUCCUACUUUCUACCUCCGCGCUUCCAAGCGCAUUUAGGUUCCAUGUAAUUUGUGUGUGUUAUGCGAUCGUCAUUAUUUUUGUUAUCAUGUAGAGUAGAGUUUAUUAAACAACCAUAUACUGUAUAUUCAUUUGUGAUGGGUUCUCUGUAUUCACGCUCACAAACUUGGUCCCUUCUACUGUGUUUCGAUUUACGCUACCUUUGCUCUAAAUCCUGUUUGGUAAAGUCAAGUAUAUAAUAAUAUCAUUGAUGCAUUCGCGGGACGAAUGCAUACAAGUAUUGUUAUGCUUUAUAUUACUAAUCAGAAACCGUAAAAUAUGUAUAUUUGAUCACGAUUAUUAUACGUAUUUUCCUUUGAGCUAAUCUAAUUCCUUGACUGAAAUUGAUGUUUUAAAUAACUCAUUUCAUGGAUAUGAUCUUGAAAGAUCUGGUGGAGAAUCAUAUGGUGAGCUUUGCUCAUCAAUAUAAUAACGUUAGCUAAAACCGCUACAAUAUCAAUAUGCCAACAAUACGCCUGAAAAUAUCUCUUUUUAAGACCAUCACACCCAUGGGCGCACAAAUGAGCGCAAAUUUACUAUUUAAACAACGGGGCACAGGACGGGAAAAUGAGAACUGCGUCAGGCUGAAACUAGCAAAAACACUUGCGCCGCAUUGUGCCGGGUGUACGAUAGGCAAGGGCGUGUUUACCAUUUUGGGGGCCCUAAGCAAAGUCAAGACCUGAGGCACCCCACACAUUGCCUAACAUUUUUGUUUGAAUUGCACAGCAGUAUGGAAAAAAAUUGAAUAUCAUGAAAAAGGUCAAUAUUUUUUGUCACUCAUUUCAGAAAGUGAAACCCAUAUAUUAUGUAGAUUCAUUACACAUAGAGUGAAAUAUUUCAAGCCUUUAUUUCUUGAAAUUUUGAUGAUUAUGGCUUACAGAUAAUGAAAACCCAAAAUUAUGUGUCUCAGAAAUUAGAAUAUUACAUAAGAUCAAUAAAAAAAGCUACAUACAAAUAUAAACUGGAUUUAUUUUACGUUAAACCACAUUACAGCACAAAAUUCUCUACAGUUUAUUAUAAGAAUAAACCUUCUUGGUUUUGGGAUUUAAAAGUGUCCUUUGUUUUAUUCAGAAUAAUACAGAAUGCUUUUAGCUACAGUAUAAGAAAGUAAAAGGUGCAAGAUUCUUCUUUUCAUAGCAUUGUUUUGCUAUAUUCGUAAAAUUAGUAUUAGAUUUAUUUUCUUUGGCUUUCUUUCGUUAAUAAGCACCGCUUUGAUACGUGCGCUUCAUUGUGUAUAUCUGAGUGUCUAAAUCAGUGGUUCUCAACUCUGGCCCGCGAGAUCCAUUUUCCUGCCGAGUUUAGCCCCAACUCUGAUAUAAAACACCUGAAGAGGAGAGUGUAGUGUAGAGCAAUCUGCACUUGAAUCGCUAUCGCGGUACUUAAAUGUCAUACGCUGAUACACAGCAAA
Triplophysa rosa is the source of this 2479-nucleotide long non-coding RNA. RefSeq lists it as uncharacterized. The record is from RefSeq and is a predicted model, not a curated record. Lineage: Eukaryota; Metazoa; Chordata; Actinopteri; Cypriniformes; Nemacheilidae. The transcript is spliced from 3 exons.